This 6805-nucleotide long non-coding RNA is filed under the name Homo sapiens (human). RNAcentral's name for it is "long non-coding RNA NONHSAT216789.1". Lineage: Eukaryota; Metazoa; Chordata; Mammalia; Primates; Hominidae. The record is from RNAcentral.
CCGCGCCGCCCGGAUGCCCAGCUCCGCGCCGCGCGGACCCAACGAGCCCGCGCUCAGACUCCCCAGCUCCGCCGAGAGGACGCUCGCGCUGGGUCCUUCUUCUUCCCCAAGUGCAGGCAGAGCCCCCGGAGUCAUGGCCAGCCCUUCCGGCAGCUCCGAAGCCACUGGCAAGCCCUGAGGUAGGGAUGGCUGGCCCAGGAGGGAGGAGGACGACGUCCCUCCCGAAGAGAAGAGGCUGCGGCUGUUGCUGGAGGGGGGAAGCGCACAGCCCGAGGACUGCGAGGACGGGGAGGACGCGCCGCGGCCGGGCAGGGAGGAGACCGGCACCCAGACAGGUGGCGACGGCAAAGGGGCGGAAUUCUCCACGAGUUUUGAGCAGCCUCGGUUUUCCCACCCCCUCCAAAUCAUGGAAGAAACAGGGUAAGAGCAAAGACAAGGUGGCUGUGGCCUAUGUCUACCCUCUCGGGGCGUCCCUUGUCUUCUCUCCUCCUUGGGCAGGGAGACCAUCGGAGUGCAACCUGGCUGGGGCGGGGAGGAGGUGCAGGGCCUGGCCAGAGCGGGCCUGGCCACGGGCAAGGGACAGCGACCUCCUGGGCCAGGACAGGUGAGCGCGGCGCAGGCCCGGGCCCGGCGUGUCCGCGCUGCGCGGGAGAGGCCAGCAGAGGGCGCCAGAGAGCCAGGAGCGGCCCGCGGAGGAGCCCGCGCCCGCCCCGAUGCCCAGCUCCGCGCCUCGCGGACCCAGCAAGCUCGCGCUCAGACGCCCCAGCUCCGCCGAGAGGACGCUCGCCCCGGGUGCUUCUUUUUCCCCAAGUGCAGGCAGAGCCCCUGGAGCCAUGGCCAGCCCUUCCGGCAGCUCCGAAGCCACUGGCAAGCCCCGAGGCAGGGAUGGCCGGCCCAGGAGGGAGGAGGACGACGUCCCUCCUGAAGAGAAGAGGCUGCGGCUGUUGCUGGAGGGGGGAAGAGCACAGCCCGAGGACUGCGAGGACGGGGAGGACGCGCUGCGGCCGGGCAAGGAGGACACCGGCACCCAGACAGGUGGCGACGGCAGAGGGUUUCUAUGGAAAUACUCUUUCUGAAGAACCCAUGAAGCAGUGUCAGGCUGGUACGAGGAUCAGCAGUGAUUUCUUUGAGGACAAGAGCCAGUUUCUUCACUCACAGGCCAUGUCUGAGUGGAUCAAGAAGAACAGAGUGCCCUUUUAUGAGAUUUUGUCUGCGUAGACCACUAGCUUGGUAAAAAUGCCAAAACCAUCCUCGUUCUUUAAUAUCAGAUUAUUUUGGACUUUUCUCUAUAAGAAGCAGCAUGGGCAUUCAGAUGCUUUUAAGGAUAAAAUGUUCUUUCUCAUCACCAGGCCUGGUGCUCUGGAUGGCUGAGGUUUUAAUGUGACUUGGUGUCCCUUGGAGUGGCUCCCAGGCUGUGCUCUUGUGGUUGGGUGGCAAGGGGUUUCUUUAUUCGGUGGUGGCUAGAGGAUGUUUUAGCAGAUAAAUCGGGACCCCAGGAGCCCCUGUGUUGCAAGUCCUGCUGCAGGGCAUGUGUUUAUAGUGGGGAUGUGGGGAGGUGGAGGGUGGGGUGCAUUGAUUUCCUGCCAAUAUCAGAAGUUUCACAGGCUUCUUGUGUAUCCACAAACACCGACCCCAUUGAGAAGGCCUAGAAAACCUGGCCCUCCCCAAGCCUUUAUUGACAACUUGUGAAUGAUCCCAGGGUGUGUCUGACCCACAGCUCCUCCUGGAGGGAGAGCAAAGUCUCUCCUAGGUAUUUGGUUAUCAACCUCAACCACUUGCUGAGCCUUCCCCAAGACGGCGGAAUUCUCCACGAGUUUUGAGCAGCCUCGGGUUUCCCACCACCUCCAAAUCAUGGAAGACACAGGUUCAGGCAGAGCCCGCGGAGCCAUGGCCAGCCCUUCCAGCAGCUCCGAAGCCACUGGCAAGCCGCGAGGCAGGGAUGGCAGUCCCAGGAUGGGGGAGGAGGACGUCCCUCCCGAAGAGAAGAGGCUGGGGCUGUAGCUGGAGGGGGGAAGCGCACAGCCCGAGGACUGCGAGGACGGGGAGGACCCGCCGCUACCGGGCAGGAAGGAGACCGGCACCCAGACAGGUGGCGACGGCAAAGGAGUAAGUGAUGCGGGCGCGGGGGUCCGGGAGUGCCGGGGGCUCGGGGGUGCCGGGGACGCAACGAAGGGGCGUCGGGAGGCUCCGUGGCCGUCCCCGGGUUGAAGUUGGGAGUGCAGCCUUCAUUCUGAACCCAUUUAGGCAGCACGGGCAGCCCUCCUCGCCAUGGGCAGGAUCAGAGCCCCCCCGCCCAGUCUUGGGGUUGCUCCUGGAUGCUGUCUGGGAGGCUUGCUCAUGGUGACAUCCUCAUCUCCCCGUCCACGUUACCGCAUUCAGAGCUUGGGUCACCUGGACACUGAACUCAGGUGAAUUUUCUCUGAGAUCCCGGGAGAAGGAGGACAGUUCUUUGGAAGGUUUUCCAGGGCCGAUCACGGAAAGGAUGAGAAGGGAGAGGUCCUGGUCGGGGACACAAUUAUGGUGGCAGUGUAACGCCGGGAAACUUUAUUGCAUGAAGUCCCUCUCACUCCCUCUACCUCCCUCUUUUACGUGGACUCUGCCAAAGACCAGGAUACCAGAAUGCGGUGGAGAGGCCAAGUGUAGUGAGACCUUGGGAAUGCGAUUCUGGAGCCAGGCGGCUGGGGUUUGCAUCCUGGUUCUGCCCCUCCUUAGCUGGCUGACAUGGCACAAGCCACUUACCCUGUCUGAGGCUUACUGUCUUCAGUGGCAAAUGGAUCUGUCAACAGGCUCCAUUGCCUGGGGUUGUUGCUGCUGAGAUUAAGGGAAGCUCGUCCAUAGAAGCACUUAGCGUUGUGCCUGGCACAUAGUGUAUGGUGGAUAAGUGGGACUUAAGACUAAAACUCAUGCCCUGAUGUGUUUUUGCAGUGAUGUUUUGUUCUGGAGUACGUCACAAGAGACAAGGUCCUUGGCUGGGCAUGGUGGCUGAAGCCAAUAAUCCCAGCACUUUGAGAGGCCGAAGGGGGAGGAUCGCUUGAGCCCAGGAGUUUAAGACCAGCCUGGGCAACAUGGUGAAGCCUCAUAUCUACGGCGGAAUUCUCCACGAGUUUUGAGCAGCCUCGGGUUUCCCACCACCUCCAAAUCAUGGAAGACACACGGUGCAGGCAGAGCCCCCCAGCCGUGGCCAGCCCUUCCGGCAGCUCCGAAGCCACUGGCAAGCCCCGAGGCAGGGAUGGCCGGCCCAGGAGGGAGGAGGACGACGUCCCUCCCGAAGAGAAGAGGCUGCGGCUGUAGCUGGAGGGGGGAAGCGCAGAACCCGAGGACUGCGAGGACGGGGAGGACGCGCCGCGGCCAGGCAGGGAGGAGACCGGCACCCAGACAGGUGGCGAAGGCAGAGGGACCAGGCACCUUGGCAGAGAUUUCUGGGUUGUCAGGCAGAACCGAGCAUUCAAGGGUGAUAACUCACUGGAGUCCCUGAAAUCCCUGAUGGAUGCACCAGGUAAAAGCAUCCAGGGUUGAAACCAGAUCAGGAAGGUUAUUGUCAGCCUGGGGCUCCUGUAGAGGUGCAUCCACGUUGCAGGUAUUUUCCUUCUUGCUGAGGAGAAACCUGGAUUUCUCAGCUUUGGCACCGUCACAACAUUUGGGGUGAGACCAUUCGUGGUGGUGGUGGGGGGGCAUCCUGUGUAUUGUAGGACGGUUAGCAGCAUCUGUGGUCUCCAUCCUCUAGGUGCCAUUCUACCCUCCCAGUUAUGGCUACCCCAGAUGUCUCCAGAUGGUUUCAAUGCUGUGGGGCAAGGGAGUGCUGGACUACACAGGCUGAAGCUCUCUCUGCCGAGAUAUAGAUAUUUCCCUGGCAAUGAUCUUUCAAGUUGACAUGAAGACAUGGCCAUCCGCUGGAACAUCGUGGGUCUGCCGUAGUGCUCUUGUAAUUUGUGAGGCAGGCUCCUGAUGAAUGCAGUGGGUGGUCAUUUUUCUUCUUGUGGCCUCUGGAAUGUGACACAGAACUCAAGGGACAGGAAGGAGAUGAGUUGGAGGCUGGGACAGGGGUCCCUGCCAGGGAUGCUGGUGACUCACGUGACGGUGUUGAUGUGUGGAGUCCGGUGCCUGGUUUGGGGAAUGUUCGUGGGAUAUGUUCCAAAGGACUGACAGACCUAUCAGGUGCAGUGGUUCACACCUGUAAUCCCAGCACUUUGGGAGGCCGAGGCUGGCGGAUCACCUAAGGUCAGGAGUUCGAGACCAGCCUGGUCAACAUGGCAAAACUGUCUCUACUAAAAAUACAGAAAUUAGCCAGGUGUGAUGGCACACACCUGCAAUCCCAGCUACUUGGGAGGCUGAGGCAGGAGAAUCGUUUGCACCUGGGAGACAGAGGUUGCAGUCAGCCGAGAUUGAACCACUGUACUUCAGCCAGCCUGGGUGACAGAGCGAGACUCUGUUUCAAAAAUAAAUAAAUAAAUAAAAUAGAAUUCUGAAUUUGGUCUGUUCUUCCCCUGGAUUGUAAACUCCUUGAUGUCUGGGUCAUCUCAGCUCAUGAGCUGAGCUUUCAGUGGGUGCUCAGUGGAACAGGUGCUGAAUGGAGUCCGGCUCUAGGGAGGCCAGGGUGUGUUGGAAGGAAAAUACAUGUACAGCCAACUUCCUUGAGGGUUCGUUCUUUUGCAUCAGGGUGUCUCAAACUGAUGCCCUUAAAACACCUGUAAGAGAAUCAUCCAGGCGGCUUGCUUGCUCUGCAUGCAGGCCCUUUAGAAUCAGACUCAGAAUCCCUGGGGCUGGAGCCACAAAAUGAAAUGACAUUUCAACGAGUUUGUCAUCAUGUGAGAGAGAAUAGGCACAGAGAAGUUGCCCAUGACUCUGUGAUCCGUUUUGUCCAAUGAACCAUGAGCAGCAGCAACUUGAGUCACCUCCAGGUGGAAGUGUUAAGAGGUUGCUCUAUGAUCCACCACAUUCCCUUUGCCCUGAAGUGGAGAUCAAGGACACAUGCAGAGAUGGGGCUUUUGUCAGCCUGGAUCCCUGAGUGAACACAAUGAACAGACCACCCCAGAAUGCCCUAACACAGCCCAGACAUGCAACGUGACCAAGAAUAAGCCUCACUGUGGCCAGGCAUGGUGGCUCAUGCCUGUCAUCCCAGCACUUUGGGAGGCCAAGGUGGGUGGAUCAUUUGAGGUCAGGAGUUCAAGACCAACCUGGCUAACAGGGUGAAAUCCUGUCUCUACUAAGUACAAAGAUUAGCCAGACAGUGGUGGCAUGGGCCUGUAAUCCCAGCUACUCAGGAGGCAGGAGAAUCACUUGAGUCUGGGAGGCAGAGGUUGCAGUGAGCUGAGAUUGCACCACUGCACUCUAGUCUGGGUGACAGAGUGAGACCCUGUCUCAAAAACAAACAAACAAAUACCUCACUGCAUGAGGCCACUGAGAUUUGGGGUUUGUUGUUACUGCACCAGAACCCAAAUCAUCCUGACCGCUAGGGUGUCCUAACUAGGGUUUCUUACCAAAAGCAAAGGCAUUUUUAAAGUUCGUGACAUUUAAACAAAAGAGCAAAUACCAAUAUCUACCACUUUGUCAGGCUAAAAAACCCAAACAAAGCCAACAGCCAGAAGUUAAAAUAAACAGAUCAUUAGGUUGAAAAUAGAACUGUCAAAACAGGCACAAUUGACUUCAUUUAGUGAUUGCAAAGAACAUCAGGCAAGACACAGGUAUGCUCAUCAUAACAUUUAUCACAUGCUUCAUUGCACAUGUUUGACUAAGAAAAACAAAGUAUUUAAGCUCAUCUGUAGCUCAAAGUGCCUAUCCGUGUAUUUAUCUAUUCAUCCUGAUUUAUUUAUUGAGCAACUCUUUUGUGCCAGGCACUGUGCUGUGUUGCGGGAAGUCAGGGACCCCAAAUGGAGGGACCAGCUGAAGCCAUGACAGAAGAACGUGGAUUAUGAAGAUUUUAUGGACAUUUAUUAGUUCCCCAAAUUAAUACUUUUUUAAUUUCUUAUGCCUGUCUUUACUGCAAUCUCUAAACAUAAAUUGUGAAGAUUUCAUGGACACUUAUCACUUCCCCAAUCAAUACCCUUGUGAUUUCCUAUGCCUAUCAUUACUUUAAUCUCUUAAUCCUGUCAGUCGAGAAGGAUGUAUAUCGUCUCAGGACCUGUAAUAAUUGCGUUAAGUACAUAAAUUGUACAUCAUGUGUGUUUGAGCAAUAUGAAAUGUGGGCACCCUGAAAAAAGAACAGGAUAACAGCAAUUGUUCAGGGAAUUAGAGAGAUAACCUUAAACUCUGACCGCUGGUGAGCCAGGCAGAACAGAACCAUAUUUCUCUUCUUUCAAAAGCAAAUGGGAGAAAUAUCGCUGAAUUCCUUUUCUCAGCAUGGAACGUCCCUGAGAAAGAGAAUGCGCACCUAGGGGUAGGUCUCUGAACUGGCCCCCCGGGGCGUACCUGUCUCUUAUGGUCGAGAUUGCAGAGGUGAAAUAAACUCCAGUCUCCCAUAGCACUCCCAGGCUUAUUAGGAAGAGAAAAUUCCCGCCUAAUAAACUUUGGUCAGACGGGUUGAUCUCAAAACCCUGUCUCCUCAUAAGAUGUUAUCAAUGACAAUGGUGCCAAAACUUCAUUAGCAAUUUUAAUUUCACUUCCGUCCUGUGGUCUGGCCCUGUCUCCACUUGCCUUGUGAUAUUCUAUUACCCUGUUAAGUACUUGAUGUCUGUCACCCACACCUAUUCAUAUACUCCCUCCCCUUUUGAAACUCCCUAAUAAAAACUUGCUGGUUUUUGUGGCUUGUGGGACAUCACGGAUCCUACCAAUGUGUGAUGUCUCCCCCAGAUGCCCAGCUUUACAAUUU